This 501-nucleotide ribosomal RNA is filed under the name uncultured bacterium. RNAcentral describes it as "partial 16S ribosomal RNA". It matches the Rfam family "Bacterial small subunit ribosomal RNA", at positions 30 to 523 of the family's 1533-position model. The record is from RNAcentral.
AUUGAACGCUGGCGGCAUGCCUUACACAUGCAAGUCGAACGGCAGCACGGGUGCUUGCACCUGGUGGCGAGUGGCGAACGGGUGAGUAAUACAUCGGAACGUACCUUAUCGUGGGGGAUAACGCAGCGAAAGUUGCGCUAAUACCGCAUACGCCCUGAGGGGGAAAGCGGGGGACCGUAAGGCCUCGCGCGAUUAGAGCGGCCGACGUCUGAUUAGCUUGUUGGUGAGGUAAAAGCUCACCAAGGCGAUGAUCAGUAGCUGGUCUGAGAGGACGAUCAGCCACACUGGGACUGAGACACGGCCCAGACUCCUACGGGAGGCAGCAGUGGGGAAUUUUGGACAAUGGGGGCAACCCUGAUCCAGCAAUGCCGCGUGAGUGAAGAAGGCCUUCGGGUUGUAAAGCUCUUUUGUCAGGGAAGAAACAGCAGCUCUAACACAGUCUGCGAAUGACGGUACCUGAAGAAUAAGCACCGGCUAACCACGUGCCAGCCGCCGCGGUAA